This 374-nucleotide ribosomal RNA is filed under the name uncultured bacterium. RNAcentral's name for it is "bacterial SSU rRNA". It matches the Rfam family "Bacterial small subunit ribosomal RNA", at positions 525 to 896 of the family's 1533-position model. The record is from RNAcentral.
ACAGAGGGUGCGAGCGUUGUCCGGAAUCACUGGGCGUAAAGGGCGCGUAGGUGGUGGCUUAAGCGUGCGGUGAAAGCUCGGGGCUCAACCCCGAGUCGGCCGUGCGAACUGGGCUCACUGGAGCAUAGUAGAGGCAGGUGGAAUUCCGGGUGUAGCGGUGGAAUGCGUAGAGAUCCGGAAGAACACCGGUGGCGAAGGCGGCCUGCUGGGCUAUGGCUGACACUGAGGCGCGACAGCGUGGGGAGCAAACAGGAUUAGAUACCCUGGUAGUCCACGCCGUAAACGAUGGGCACUAGGUGCUUGGGGGAGCGACCCCCUGGGUGCCGGCGCUAACGCAUGAAGUGCCCCGCCUGGGGAGUACGGCCGCAAGGCUG